RNAcentral lists this ribosomal RNA (440 nucleotides) under uncultured bacterium. RNAcentral's name for it is "partial 16S ribosomal RNA". It matches the Rfam family "Bacterial small subunit ribosomal RNA", at positions 338 to 795 of the family's 1533-position model. The record is from RNAcentral.
CCUACGGGAGGCAGCAGUGGGGAAUAUUGCACAAUGGGGGAAACCCUGAUGCAGCGACGCCGCGUGAGGGAAGAAGGUAUUCGGGAUGUAAAGCCCUUUUAGUAGGGAAGAAAAUGACGGUACCUGACCAAUAAGCACCGGCUAACUACGUGCCAGCAGCCGCGGUAAUAUGGAGGGGGCAAGCGUUAUCCGGAAUUACUGGGGGUAAAGGGGGCGUAGGCGGGUGAGCAAGUCAGGAGUGAAAGGCGGGGGGCUAACCCCAGAACUGCACUGGAAACUGUUGUGCUGGAGUGCGGGAGAGGUACGUGGAAUUCCUGGUGUAGCGGUGAAAUGCGUAGAUAUUAAGAGGAACACUGAUUGCGAAGGCGGCGUACUGGACCCUAACUGACGCUGAGGCGCGAAAGCGUGGGGAGCAAACAGGAUUAGAUACCCCUGUAGUC